UACGUAGGGGGCAAGCGUUGUUCGGAAUUACUGGGCGUAAAGGGCGCGUAGGCGGCACGGCAAGUCAGGAGUGAAAGCCCGGGGCUCAACCCCGGAAUGUCUUUUGAAACUGCCGAGCUAGAGUGCGGAAGAGGCAACUGGAAUUCCCAGUGUAGCGGUGAAAUGCGUAGAUAUUGGGAAGAACACCUGAGGCGAAGGCGGGUUGCUGGGCCGACACUGACGCUGAUGCGCGAAAGCUAGGGGAGCAAACGGG
Molecule: ribosomal RNA, 253 nt
Filed under: uncultured bacterium
Lineage: Bacteria
Description: partial 16S ribosomal RNA
Rfam family: Bacterial small subunit ribosomal RNA
Source: RNAcentral